RNAcentral lists this non-coding RNA (953 nucleotides) under Lutjanus johnii (John's snapper). RNAcentral describes it as "12S ribosomal RNA". It matches the Rfam family "Bacterial small subunit ribosomal RNA". The record is from RNAcentral. Lineage: Eukaryota; Metazoa; Chordata; Actinopteri; Lutjaniformes; Lutjanidae.
CAAAAGUUUGGUCCUGAUUUUUCUACCAACUUUAGCUAAAUUUACACAUGCAAGUAUCCGCACCCCUGUGAGAAUGCCCUACAGUUCCCUGCUUGGGAACAAGGAGCUGGUAUCAGGCUCAACCCACACACCAAGCCCACGACACCUUGCUCAGCCACACCCUCAAGGGAACUCAGCAGUGAUAGACAUUAAGCCAUAAGUGAAAACUUGACUUAGUUAAAAGCUAAGAGGGUCGGUAAAACUCGUGCCAGCCACCGCGGUUAUACGAAGGACCCAAGUUGUUAGAUGCCGGCGUAAAGAGUGGUUAAGAUUUACCCCAAAACUAAAGCCGAACGCCCUCAGAGCUGUUAUACGCUUCCGAAGGUAAGAAGCCCAACCACGAAGGUGGCUUUACAUUGUCCGACUCCACGAAAGCUACGAUACAAACUGGGAUUAGAUACCCCACUAUGCCUAGCCAUAAACAUUGAUAGUAAACUACACAUACUAUCCGCCCGGGAACUACGAGCAUUAGCUUGAAACCCAAAGGACUUGGCGGUGCUUUAGAUCCACCUAGAGGAGCCUGUUCUAGAACCGAUUACCCCCGUUCAACCUCACCUUUCCUUGUUUCCCCCGCCUAUAUACCACCGUCGUCAGCUUACCCUGUGAGGGACUCAUAGUAAGCAAAAUUGGCAUAGCCCAAAACGUCAGGUCGAGGUGUAGCGUAUGGGAAGGGAAGAAAUGGGCUACAUUCUCUAACACAGAGAAUACGAAUGAUAUACUGAAACACAUAUCUGAAGGAGGAUUUAGCAGUAAGCAAAAAAUAGAGCGUCUUGCUGAAACUGGCCCUGAAGCGCGCACACACCGCCCGUCACUCUCCCCAAGCUUAUUAACCCUUAAUACCUUAAAACCCUAAAACUGCAAAGGGGAGGCAAGUCGUAACAUGGUAAGCGUACCGGAAGGUGCCCUUGGAAAAA